GACGAACGCUGGCGGCGUGCUUAACACAUGCAAGUCGAACGGAGUGGCGAACGGGUGAGUAAAACGUGGGCGAUCUGCCUUGCACUUCGGGAUAAGAUUGGGAAACUGGGUCUAAUACAGGAUAGUGCAAGAUGAGCUCGCGGCCUAUCAGCUUGUGGGUGGGGUAAUGGCCUACCAAGGCGUCGACGGGUAGCCGGCCUGAGAGGGUGUACGGCUACGUUGGGCCUAGUAUACGAGCCAGCGUCGUACUGGCGGCAGCGGUGGUGUCUAAUGCACACUACGCGGAAGCCUGAUGCAGCGACGCCCCGUGGUGGAUCAACGCCUUCGGUUUGUAAGCUCCUUUCGACAGGGACGCUGUAGCUGUAUAUGAAGCACCGGCUUACUGCGUGCCAGCAGCCGCGGUAAUUC
RNAcentral lists this ribosomal RNA (408 nucleotides) under uncultured bacterium. Its description in RNAcentral is "partial 16S ribosomal RNA". It matches the Rfam family "Bacterial small subunit ribosomal RNA", at positions 28 to 526 of the family's 1533-position model. The record is from RNAcentral.